This 255-nucleotide ribosomal RNA is filed under the name uncultured bacterium. RNAcentral describes it as "partial 16S ribosomal RNA". It matches the Rfam family "Bacterial small subunit ribosomal RNA", at positions 524 to 777 of the family's 1533-position model. The record is from RNAcentral.
UACGUAGGGUGCGAGCGUUAAUCGGAAUUACUGGGCGUAAAGCGUGCGCAGGCGGUGAUGUAAGACAGAUGUGAAAUCCCCGGGCUCAACCUGGGAACUGCAUUUGUGACUGCAUCGCUGGAGUGCGGCAGAGGGGGAUGGAAUUCCGCGUGUAGCAGUGAAAUGCGUAGAUAUGCGGAGGAACACCGAUGGCGAAGGCAAUCCCCUGGGCCUGCACUGACGCUCAUGCACGAAAGCGUGGGGAGCGAAACAAGG